CACUAGGUCUAUUCAGGCAUAUGUAGGCAAGAAAAGAGAAUAGAUAGUAACCAGCUAUAACAUGUAACUACUACAAUGCCUGUACAAAGCUGAAAGAAACAGUAGAUAAUAGCUGAAAUUGAUGCAUGCAUGCUAUACAUAAUUAUUACCCAAUUAAACUGGUUAACCCUUUGGUUAACAAUAACUCACCGACAAAAUCCCAAGUAUCGGGGAGACGCAAGCUACAUCCCGACGGGACUGUCUACUGGGGGAGACGCUAGCUCCUGAUCCAGUUGAGAUGACUACUCCGGAGCUCAUCGUUCAAGGAGGAGCGACCUUCCUUGAACAUAAGAUGAUGUGAGUAUGAUCUGAUCUCCUUUAGAGGAUUCAAUGAAAGACAAUGCCACACUUUAACUCUAACUAGCCCUUUAUACUAGUUUUACAAUUUCAUUCUCGAUGCUAACCAAAUCUCUAGUCAUGAUGUCACCAAAUUUACUAUUGUCAUCCUCAAUAAAAUUCACAUAUUCAUAAGGUUCUAUGUCCAUAUUCUAUUGUCCAUAUGCUCUUUACAUUGACAGAAAUUCAAUUGCAUAAUGAGAAUUUCCCUAUAAUGCAUGAAUAUAAUGCAAUUCACGUAUAUAGAUAUGCUCAAUGAUAUGACAUAGACAUAAAGAGGGAUUCGAAGACUUCGGAUAGCACCACCCACCUGUAGGGAUGCCGAAAUACUAACACCAACGUCUUGAAAUGUGUAAACAACUAGUCCCCGCGACUCGCUGUAAUCGAGGCUAGAACGAUGCGUUUCCUAAUUAACGCGUCGUAGAUCCGUCGGAAUCUCAAUCCAAGCUUCCGAGCAUGUCAAACCUUCAUUCAGAAAGGAAUAAAAGAGGUUAAACUUCAGUUAUAUUCAUAUCUUCUACAACUUUGCAUUUUGACUCCAACUUGUAUAUAUUAUUAACAUAUACAUAUACUUGUUCUUACUACUAAACUUCUUAUCAAUUCUAUCCAUUAGUAACUGAGAAUUAGGGAUAAAUAACCUCACUUUUAAGAAGGAUUUUAUAUGAUCUUAACUGAGAUUUUAUCUUCCAACACUUAAUCAGAAGUAUAUAUAUAUAUGCAUAUACUCACACAUCUAUAUACUUAGAGUUAGCUUAUGGAAUUCACAAUACAGUUUUGUGAUUUCCACGAGCUCCAACUCCCACAGGACUUCCAAUUAGCAUCUCCCUGUUAUACUAAUUGAAUUUCAAUCCAUACCUAACCAUAA
This 1240-nucleotide long non-coding RNA is filed under the name Ananas comosus (pineapple). Its description in RNAcentral is "long non-coding RNA (ACOM_LNC038131)". The record is from RNAcentral. Lineage: Eukaryota; Viridiplantae; Streptophyta; Magnoliopsida; Poales; Bromeliaceae.